This 497-nucleotide ribosomal RNA is filed under the name uncultured bacterium. RNAcentral's name for it is "partial 16S ribosomal RNA". It matches the Rfam family "Bacterial small subunit ribosomal RNA", at positions 28 to 507 of the family's 1533-position model. The record is from RNAcentral.
GAUGAACGCUGGCGGCGUGCCUAAUACAUGCAAGUCGAGCGAACAGAUGAGGAGCUUGCUCCUCUGACGUUAGCGGCGGACGGGUGAGUAACACGUGGAUAACCUACCUAUAAGACUGGGAUAACUUCGGGAAACCGGAGCUAAUACCGGAUAAUAUAUUGAACCGCAUGGUUCAAUAGUGAAAGACGGUUUUGCUGUCACUUAUAGAUGGAUCCGCGCCGCAUUAGCUAGUUGGUAAGGUAACGGCUUACCAAGGCGACGAUGCGUAGCCGACCUGAGAGGGUGAUCGGCCACACUGGAACUGAGACACGGUCCAGACUCCUACGGGAGGCAGCAGUAGGGAAUCUUCCGCAAUGGGCGAAAGCCUGACGGAGCAACGCCGCGUGAGUGAUGAAGGUCUUCGGAUCGUAAAACUCUGUUAUUAGGGAAGAACAAAUGUGUAAGUAACUAUGCACGUCCUGACGGUACCUAAUCAGAAAGCCACGGCUAACUACGUG